This 597-nucleotide ribosomal RNA is filed under the name uncultured bacterium. Its description in RNAcentral is "bacterial SSU rRNA". It matches the Rfam family "Bacterial small subunit ribosomal RNA", at positions 112 to 704 of the family's 1533-position model. The record is from RNAcentral.
AAUGCUUAGGAAUCUGCCUAUUAGUGGGGGACAACAUUCCGAAAGGAAUGCUAAUACCGCAUACGCCCUACGGGGGAAAGCAGGGGAUCUUCGGACCUUGCGCUAAUAGAUGAGCCUAAGUCAGAUUAGCUAGUUGGUGGGGUAAAGGCCUACCAAGGCGACGAUCUGUAGCGGGUCUGAGAGGAUGAUCCGCCACACUGGGACUGAGACACGGCCCAGACUCCUACGGGAGGCAGCAGUGGGGAAUAUUGGACAAUGGGCGAAAGCCUGAUCCAGCCAUGCCGCGUGUGUGAAGAAGGCCUUUUGGUUGUAAAGCACUUUAAGCGAGGAGGAGGCUACCGAGAUUAAUACUCUUGGAUAGUGGACGUUACUCGCAGAAUAAGCACCGGCUAACUCUGUGCCAGCAGCCGCGGUAAUACAGAGGGUGCGAGCGUUAAUCGGAUUUACUGGGCGUAUAGCGUGCGUAGGCGGCUUUUUAAGUCGGAUGUGAAAUCCCUGAGCUUAACUUAGGAAUUGCAUUCGAUACUGGGAAGCUAGAGUAUGGGAGAGGAUGGUAGAAUUCCAGGUGUAGCGGUGAAAUGCGUAGAGAUCUGGAGG